UACGGAGGGGGCUAGCGUUGUUCGGAAUUACUGGGCGUAAAGCGCACGUAGGCGGAUCAGAAAGUCAGAGGUGAAAUCCCAGGGCUCAACCUUGGAACUGCCUUUGAAACUGCUGAUCUUGAGGUCGGGAGAGGGUAGUGGAAUUCCCAGUGUAGAGGUGAAAUUCGUAGAUAUUGGGAAGAAAACCGGUGGCGAAGGCGGCGACCUGGAUCGCAACUGACGCUGAGGCGCGAAAGCGUGGGGAGCAAACAGG
This 253-nucleotide ribosomal RNA is filed under the name uncultured bacterium. Its description in RNAcentral is "partial 16S ribosomal RNA". It matches the Rfam family "Bacterial small subunit ribosomal RNA", at positions 524 to 776 of the family's 1533-position model. The record is from RNAcentral.